RNAcentral lists this ribosomal RNA (428 nucleotides) under Chloroflexota bacterium. Its description in RNAcentral is "Chloroflexi bacterium partial 16S ribosomal RNA". It matches the Rfam family "Bacterial small subunit ribosomal RNA", at positions 355 to 776 of the family's 1533-position model. The record is from RNAcentral. Lineage: Bacteria; Bacillati; Chloroflexota.
UGGGGAAUAUUGCACAAUGGGCGCAAGCCUGAUGCAGCCAUGCCGCGUGUGUGAAGAAGGCCUUCGGGUUGUAAAGCACUUUCAGCGGGGAGGAAGGCGUUAAGGUUAAUAACCUUGGCGAUUGACGUUACCCGCAGAAGAAGCACCGGCUAACUCCGUGCCAGCAGCCGCGGUAAUACGGAGGGUGCAAGCGUUAAUCGGAAUUACUGGGCGUAAAGCGCACGCAGGCGGUCUGUCAAGUCGGAUGUGAAAUCCCCGGGCUCAACCUGGGAAUUGCAUCCGAAACUGGCAGGUUAGAGUCUUGUAGAGGGGGGAAGAAUUCAAGGUGUAGCGGUGAAAUGCGUAGAGAUCGGGAGGAAUACCGGUGGCGAAGGCGGCCCCUGGACAAAGACUGACGCUCAGGUGCGAAAGCGUGGGGAGCAAACAGG